Molecule: long non-coding RNA, 585 nt
Organism: Neofelis nebulosa (Clouded leopard)
Lineage: Eukaryota; Metazoa; Chordata; Mammalia; Carnivora; Felidae
Exons: 2
Source: RefSeq, a predicted model, not a curated record
GAUGUAUUCUCUGGAUGUUACAGAUGAGGAAACAGAAGCUCAGAGACAUGAAGUCCUUUUCCCAUGAUCACACAGCAGGGUAGUGGCUGCUGUGCUUAAGCCUAAGCCUAGGCUGAUGUGCUUGCCCUUCUGGCCCUGCCUGGACAUUGGUAGAAAAAGCCGUACCCCAAGUUUCCCUUAAAACUCAUCUACCCGUCCUCUCUCCCUGCCGAGCCACCUGAUCUCAUCAGUCCCCUCUCUCCCUGCUCCCCCAACACCUUCUCCUUUCCCUCACUUUGCCCAGUCUUGCCUCCCAGUCCCUCCCCACCCCAGCUAUGCUUUUGUUUCAGCCUUACCUCCAGGGGCCCUCAGAUUAAGAAACAAGGAUGUUAAGACAGUCAAGGCCUGCAGUAACAAAUUACCACCGACAGGCUUAACGACCCCGGAAGUGUGCUCCCUCACAGCUCCGGAAGCCAGCAGCCCAAAAUGUAAGCGCCGAAGGGGCCACGUUCCCUCUGAAGGAUCUGAGAGAUCCUUCCCUGCCUCUUCCAGCCUCCGGGGGCUCCUGGUGUUCCUUGGCUCAUGAAUACAUAACUCCAGCCUCUG